This 77-nucleotide transfer RNA is filed under the name Pelagibacterium luteolum. Its description in RNAcentral is "tRNA_Ile_GAT". It matches the Rfam family "tRNA". From Rfam's summary of the family: Transfer RNA (tRNA) molecules are approximately 80 nucleotides in length. Their secondary structure includes four short double-helical elements and three loops (D, anti-codon, and T loops). Further hydrogen bonds mediate the characteristic L-shaped molecular structure. tRNAs have two regions of fundamental functional importance: the anti-codon, which is responsible for specific mRNA codon recognition, and the 3' end, to which the tRNAs corresponding amino acid is attached (by aminoacyl-tRNA synthetases). tRNAs cope with the degeneracy of the genetic code in two manners: having more than one tRNA (with a specific anti-codon) for a particular amino acid; and 'wobble' base-pairing, i.e. permitting non-standard base-pairing at the 3rd anti-codon position. RNAcentral also lists the same sequence under 9 other names. The record is from RNAcentral. Lineage: Bacteria; Pseudomonadati; Pseudomonadota; Alphaproteobacteria; Hyphomicrobiales; Devosiaceae.
GGGCACGUAGCUCAGGUGGUUAGAGCACACGCCUGAUAAGCGUGAGGUCGGUGGUUCGAGUCCACCCGUGCCCACCA